RNA transcript from Oncorhynchus gorbuscha (pink salmon), 2940 nucleotides. It is a transcript of the gene named von Willebrand factor A domain-containing protein 5A-like, with no coding region annotated. The transcript is spliced from 23 exons. The record is from RefSeq and is a predicted model, not a curated record. NCBI's taxonomy places the organism in Eukaryota, Metazoa, Chordata, Actinopteri, Salmoniformes, Salmonidae.
UAUAUACCAGGAAGACGUAGCCUACUCUGAUAUUAAUGCUACACGAACGUUGAAACGGUGUGAUUUUAUCUCCAGGACCAGUAAAAGGAAAUCAUUGAAAACUAGCCUAUCACAUAUGUCAAGGAGCCAAAAUGGAGAACUGCUGUGGAUUGGUAACUGUCAAGAAUGAACCAGUGCCUCUGAAGAGUAUUGCUGUGGAAGUGAGUGUUCAGGGGCAUGUGGCCACUGUGAGCUCCACUCUGCAGUAUGAGAACCAGGAGCAGAGCCCUCUGGAGGCCAUCUUUGUUUUCCCUCUGCCGGGAGAGGCUGCUGUCUGCAGGUUCAGCGCAAAGAUAGGACAGACUGAGGUGGUGGCUGAGGUUCAGGAGAAACAGAAGGCACAGGAGCAGUAUGAUGAUGCAUUGAGUUCGGGCCAGCAGGCCUUCCUAUUGGAGGAGAGUGAUGAGAGCCCGGACGUGUUCAAGCUGAGUGUGGGCAGUCUGCCUCCAGGGGAGAAGGCCUCUGUCAGCCUGGACUAUGUGACAGAGCUGGCUGUACAGGCUGACGACGGCCUGAGGCUCUGCCUGCCCGCCGUGCUCAACCCCCGUUACCAACCCCAGGGGUCAGACAGUGGCAGUGCUGGCAGUGCCCAGGUAUCCUCGGUCCCCGCUGGUUCUGUCCCCUACAGUCUGUCCCUCAGUGCCCAUGUGUCGUCCCCUCAUCCCAUCUCUGGAGUAGAGUCCAACUGUCCCCUGGACCCACUCAACUACCUCAACACAGAGAAAACCCAAGCCACGGUCAGUCUGGCUGCAGGUCAUCAGUUUGACCGGGAUGUUGAGCUGUUGUUGUAUUACCAAGACACCCAUCAGCCUACUGCUAUAGUAGAGGCAGCACAGGCUUCUGCCAAGCCAGGCUCUCUGAUGGGUGACCCAGUGGUCAUGCUGAGCUUGUACCCAGAGUUCCCCAAGGAUGUGAUGUCAUCUAUGACCUCACACGGGGAGUUCCUGUUCGUAGUGGAUCGCUCUGGCAGCAUGGAAUUCCCCAUGCACCUUGGGUCUGGGUCACAGGACCGUAUUGGCAGUGCCAGGGAAACUCUGCUGCUCUUGCUGAAAAGCCUGCCCAUGGGCUGCUACUUCAACAUCAUCGGCUUUGGGUCCAGUUAUGAGUCCUUCUUUUCUAAGAGUGUGGAGUACAGCCAGAAGACUAUGGAUGAGGCCCUGCAGAAGGUGAAAGAAAUGAGGGCUGACCUGGGAGGUACAGAGAUCCUCCAGCCUUUAAAACAUAUCUACAGCCAGCCCUGCCUCCCCGACCAGCCCAGACAGCUCUUCUUGUUCACUGACGGUGAGGUGGAGAACACCAAGGAAGUCCUGGAUCUGGUGAAGACGAAUGCCGGUUCUCACAGGUGUUUCUCCUUUGGGAUCGGGGAGGGGGCCAGCACUGCUCUCAUUUCUGGGGUGGCCAAGCAGGCCAGAGGGCACGCACAGUUUAUCACAGGACAGGACAGGAUGCAGCCCAAAGUGAUGCAGUCUCUCCGGUUUGCCCUGCAGCCAGCUGUGGUGGACAUCUCAGUCAAGUGGAAUGUCCCAAAGGAGGUGUCUGUCACCCCUCUGUCUCCACCAAUCAGAGUGCUCUUCCAGGGUCAAAGGGCACUUCUGUAUGCCCAGCUCACUGGGAAGAGCUCAGGGGACACAGAGGGCUCGGUGACAGUGAAGUACAGCCUGGCCAAGCAGCCUGUUGAGAACCAGCUGAGCUUCAGUCUUAAGCCUACAGAGGACACUGGAAUGACCGUCCACAGGCUGGGUGCUCGAACCCUAAUCCAAUCCCUGGAGGUGGAAGAGAGGGAGCAGGAUGGUGAGAAGGAGGGAGUGAAAGAGAAGGUGAUAGAGCUCAGCGUCCAAUCAGGAGUGAGCAGUGCCUUUACUGCCUUCAUCGCUGUCCACAAAGGAGAUGGACAGGCCCUGCAAGGACAACUGCUACACAGACAUGUCCCCACACCAAUGUUGAAUCUAAGGGGAUGUUCACUGACAGAUUGUGAUUUUAGCAGUAGUGUACUUGAGCGCGAUAUGAAACUAUCUGAACUCGAUGACCGAUCUGAUCAGCUUCUGUGCUCUGCGUCAGAGUUUGUGGUCGGCACAAAGAGUAAGUGUAUGUCUGCUAAAAAGAAGGCCGAAGGUUCGCUCGCCUCUAGGGUGAAGGGAUUCUUCUUUAAACAACUUGGAUUCUUCUCUAAACAAGGUGCUCGUGAAGUAUUAGAAUGUGACGAAGACUGUGAUGAAGACUCUCCAGCCCCAACCACUAAGUCUGUGAGGGACCCUCUCCUCCAGCUGAUCUCCCUUCAGAAGGCCUCUGGUUCCUGGGUCCUGGAGGCAGCAUUGGCUGAGGUGCUGGAGAAGACAGAGGAGGAGGUGUCCAAGCCAAAGCCUGAACAGUCUGUCUCUCCCUAUCUAAGGUGGACCAGGAGGUGUGGGCCACAGUUUUAGCCCUGGUAUGGCUCUAUGGUUUCAAGAUGGAGGCUCAGGAGGAUUGGCAGUUUCUGGCCAUGAAGGCAGUAUCAUGGAUCCAGGCUCAGAAAGUGGCCAGUGUGUCUGAGUGUGUCCAGGCUGGAAACACCCUUCUGGGUUGCCAAGUGCAGAAAGACACCCUGGGGCUCUGACAUGUUCACCCUCCCAGUCCUCAAUCUGUCCCCCAUACGCCUGCUACUCUACACACAACCCUGCCUGCUCCUAGUCCCCUACUCCAAGCAAACUGGUGGAGCUAGCAACUGUAUCUGCCUAAACAAUUUUAUUGAAAUAACGUGGAAACAACAUUCUAUGUAUAUUGUAUGUAUCCAUUAUCCAUGUAUAUGAGGCCAAAUGCAUGCAGGAAGGAGUUGUGGAUAAUAUGCAAAGCUGAGUGCCUAUCCCAGUGCCUUUACUGUGUGAUCAUGUAACACUGUGUCUCUGUAUUCAUGUAAUUCCUCAU